UUUUUUUUGGGGGGGGGGGGGGUGAAUGAAGGUUAAAAAUCUCACAAAUUUCGGCCAUAAUUUCAGUUGUAAUUGCAAUUUUUCAGCCAAUGCCCUUUUUAUUUUAUUUAGUUGUCAACUAAUUUAAUUAUUUCUGUAAACAAUUUUUGUAUUUUUCUUAAAAUUAACCUCACUGCAAUGUACACUCAUCUCAGAGGGACCGAUAUAUCGGUACAAAGAAGAGUAUUUUCCAAAACCUCGGUGCUAACAGCUUUAGGAAUGAAGGACAGUGGUCUAGACAUUUUCGUAGGGGAUUAGAAAUGGAACCCCCCAAGAAGCAACACCUCCUUGACUAACAUAGUCGACUUACCCAAUGAACACAGCCUCCCAUCUCCCACUCCUUCUGCAGGUACUACACAUUAAAUGCUACUGAUCAGACAAAGUCUUUGAUACCUACAAGACAGAUACUCGUUAAAGUUUGAGGGUAGUGCGUCACGUUGAUAGUUAUAAGUAGUGGAGUAGAUUUGAAGUUGGUUAAGUUCUCUUUGACUCUUGGUAAGUAAGUUUACAUGGUUAUAUUUUACGUUUAGUUGUAUGUAUAUCUUUGUUUGUACAUGCGAAGCGGAAAGUGACAUGAAUGUAAUACAGUAAUGCUAGUAAAUCAAUAAAUAAUAUAGCUAUUUAUGUCAUAAAAUAUCUGCGUAUUCAGCAAUAAAGCGGGAAACGUUUGAAACAUUUAAAAUUCAAUAUUCAGUUCCGCAUCUUUUUCUGUUUGAAAUAUUAUUGUUAGUAGACCUACUUACAAAACUAAAACUAGAACAUUGUUGUUGGUAGGUUGACUAUCGUUAAGUGGUGUAGUUUUUAAUGUUAAAUUCUUUGCAGUUGUUGGGGGGGGGUAAUAAAUAGCUAUUUUUACUUUAAAUAAAGUGUUGCCUUACACGAAGAGUAUAAAAACAUUUUUUUUGUUGUUUAAUUUUCAAAAAAUCUUAAAUUAAAUUUUCUUGUAGACCUACACUUUAGGUCUUAAAAAACGGGGGAUCAUUUUGCUAGACACAAAGGGUAAGUAUCAAAACAGUAAUGUCGAAAGUUAAACAGAAUGAGGGUAUUUCCGCCCCUCUAUCAUCUCGAUUAGUUUGUAAGCUUCCAGUGACCUGAUUGUGACCUGAGAGACCUAUGUUCUUUGAUACCAUGACGGCCCUGUUUUGGUAUUUAACCGUCCCCUUGGGCUCGGAGUUCUACGAUCCCCUUGUGUUUGAAACCGGAAGUAAGACCUGGUAGUGCGCAGAUAUGAUGCUGGCGUAAAAGGGCGGGGUGCUCGCGUGAAAGGUGCACGGGUGAUGGGGCGGGGUGCACGGGUGAUGGGGCGGGGUGAACGAGUGAUGGGG
Molecule: non-coding RNA, 1364 nt
Organism: Biomphalaria pfeifferi
Lineage: Eukaryota; Metazoa; Mollusca; Gastropoda; Planorbidae
Source: the annotation of a GenBank genome assembly